Long non-coding RNA from Cydia splendana, 552 nucleotides. RefSeq lists it as uncharacterized. The record is from RefSeq and is a predicted model, not a curated record. The transcript has 3 exons. Lineage: Eukaryota; Metazoa; Arthropoda; Insecta; Lepidoptera; Tortricidae.
UCUUGAUGUCGCCGAUGUUUGUCUGUUGUACCACAUAUUUUAAUAUUAUAAAAUUUGUAUUUACAUUGAAAAGUUCCAGACUAGUGGGAAUCACAAUGGACCUACAGUGAGCACCCUGGCAAGGAAUAUGUUCAAGCUUAUAGCUUCCAGCUAUUGCUGGAAAAUGGAAAUUUCUAUAAUGAUAUGGAGGCCAACAAAGACUCCAGAGCAUGUCUGGCAGCGCCUCAUAGGGCUAUCCUGCCCUCGACUCCCAGUCUACCAGCCGCGCCGGUCCGUCGCCUAAUCACAACUCCAACCCGGUCAACCGCAACAGGAGCCACAAGAAUGUGAGGUGGUGCUGGAGAUGAAGGUGAUCGAAGCCAACUUAUACACCCGCGAACUGAUGCGGUGGAAAAAACUUUGGUCUUUUUUUAACAUUAAUUUUAUAACUUUAUUUGCUUAGACUGAUUUGAAAUAUUUUUUAUUGAAAGUGUAUAAUGUAUAUAGAGAUUUGUCCGAUUUUUGUUAAAAUAAAAAAUAAUAAAAUUAUACGCAAAGUAUAUUUUAUUGAAU